Chiroxiphia lanceolata (lance-tailed manakin) is the source of this 1000-nucleotide RNA transcript. It is a transcript of the gene named centrosomal protein 20, with no coding region annotated. NCBI's taxonomy places the organism in Eukaryota, Metazoa, Chordata, Aves, Passeriformes, Pipridae. The record is from RefSeq and is a predicted model, not a curated record. The transcript has 5 exons.
CUGAGGACACCCCGCGCUCCCGCCCGGCCCCUCAGGGCCGCUCCGCCAUCCCCGCGCCUGCGCAGCGCCCGCCCGGCCCCAUCCGGGUCCCGGCGCGGCCAUGGCGACGGUGGCGGAGCUCAAAGCAGUUUUAAAGGACACGCUGGAAAAAAGAGGCGCUCUUGGAGAAAUCAAAGCGAGGAUCAGAGCUGAAGUGUUCAAUGCCCUGGACGACCAAAGCGAACCGCGGCCGCCGCUGUCCCAUGAGAACCUGCUGAUCAAUGAACUGAUCCGUGAAUACCUGGAAUAUAACAGAUACAAAUACACAGCAUCUGUUCUAACUGCAGAAUCCGGCCAGCCUGAAGUGCCCUUGGAUAGACAGUUUCUUGCCAAAGAGCUGAAUGUAGUCGAAGACGCAAGUGGAAGAUCAGUACCUCUCCUGUAUGGAAUUAUCUCUCAUUUCUUACAUGGUGGUAAAGAAGAAAGUACACACAAUACCUUUCCAAAAGGGUCUUGCUGAAUUAUCCAAAGCAGAACCUUACCAAACCACCUACUGAGAGAAAUCAAAAAGACGAAUUCCAGAACCAGGAAGGAUGGCUGGCACAAGCAUCGAAGAGCCCCUUGUUUUACAAAGUAUAAAGAGAUGACAUCUUUUAUUUCGCUAAUUUCUCAUGUAGAGUUCUGUAAGAGUUAAUUUAGGACAUUCUUCAUUGCAUAAAUUUCUCUAUCAAAUCCAGUGGGACCAUUUCAGCUGGUAACAUCUACCCAUGAGACAAGGACAACGAGGUCAUACUUAUUGUCAAUGAAAAAAUGUUAGCAAAGACUCUCCUCCUCCAGUGCUGGCAGAAGGAAAACUGUAUAGGAGGUCACAUCAAUGAAUCCUGUGUCUAGAAUUUGGCUUGAAAAUACUGGGUUUAUCCAACAGAUUUUUGUUAAGUAACUUACCAUUUCUGCACUUUCUUUACUAUGUUAUGUCUUUGUGUGUUUUUCCUGUGUUUCUUAAUAAAAUUUUCCAAUUUUA